UAUUGCACAAUGGGCGAAAGCCUGAUGCAGCCAUGCCGCGUGUAUGAAGAAGGCCUUCGGGUUGUAAAGUACUUUCAGUUGUGAGGAAGGGGGUGUCGUUAAUAGCGGCAUYUCUUGACGUUAGCAACAGAAGAAGCACCGGCUAACUCCGUGCCAGCAGCCGCGGUAAUACGGAGGGUGCGAGCGUUAAUCGGAAUUACUGGGCGUAAAGCGCAUGCAGGUGGUUCAUUAAGUCAGAUGUGAAAGCCCGGGGCUCAACCUYGGAACUGCAUUUGAAACUGGUGAACUAGAGUACUGUAGAGGGGGGUAGAAUUUCAGGUGUAGCGGUGAAAUGCGUAGAGAUCUGAAGGAAUACCAGUGGCGAAGGCGGCCCCCUGGACAGAUACUGACACUYAGAUGCGAAAGCGUGGGGAGCAAACAGGAUUAGAUACCCUGGUAGUCCACGCCGUAAACGAUGUCUACUUGGAGGUUGUGGCCUUGAGCCGUGGCUUUYGGAGCUAACGCGUUAAGUAGACCGCCUGGGGAGUACGGUCGCAAGAUUAAAACUCAAAUGAAUUGACGGGGGCCCGCACAAGCGGUGGAGCAUGUGGUUUAAUUYGAUGCAACGCGAAGAACCUUACCUACUCUUGACAUCCAGAGAAGCCAGCGG
RNAcentral lists this ribosomal RNA (649 nucleotides) under Vibrio sp. RNAcentral's name for it is "bacterial SSU rRNA". It matches the Rfam family "Bacterial small subunit ribosomal RNA", at positions 362 to 1003 of the family's 1533-position model. Lineage: Bacteria; Pseudomonadati; Pseudomonadota; Gammaproteobacteria; Vibrionales; Vibrionaceae. The record is from RNAcentral.